CCUACGGGAGGCUGCAGUGAGGAAUAUUGGUCAAUGGACGAGAGUCUGAACCAGCCAAGUAGCGUGAAGGAUGACUGCCCUAUGGGUUGUAAACUUCUUUUAUAUGGGAAUAAAACGUUCCACGUGUGGGAUUUUGUAUGUACCAUAUGAAUAAGGAUCGGCUAACUCCGUGCCAGCAGCCGCGGUAAUACGGAGGAACCGAGCGUUAUCCGGAUUUAUUGGGUUUAAAGGGAGCGUAGGUGGAUUGUUAAGUCAGUUGUGAAAGUUUGCGGCUCAACCGUAAAAUUGCAGUUGAAACUGGCAGUCUUGAGUACAGUAGAGGUGUGCGGAAUUCGUGGUGUAGCGGUGAAAUGCUUAGAUAUCACGAAGAACUCCGAUUGCGAAGGCAGUUCACUGGACUGCAACUGACACUGAGGCUCGAAAGUGUGGGUAUCAAACAGGAUUAGAUACCCGAGUAGUC
RNAcentral lists this ribosomal RNA (460 nucleotides) under uncultured bacterium. RNAcentral's name for it is "partial 16S ribosomal RNA". It matches the Rfam family "Bacterial small subunit ribosomal RNA", at positions 338 to 795 of the family's 1533-position model. The record is from RNAcentral.